GGGGGACGCAUCUGGGGAUACCUUUCAUUUAGCUAUUGCUUCAGAAAAAGCCACCCCCAAAACAGUACACUCGAAAUAACUACGUUUUAUUAUUUCCCAGAAUUGUACAAUCUGAGCUGAGGGCAGCUGAAUGGUUCUGUUCAUGCAGUACCUGUUGGAGUGGACGCACCCAAGAACAUUUUACUAUCACAUUCGGCGCCUCCCACUGGGAUAACAGGCAUAGCGGACCGCCUGGCAUCUCUGUCUCCAGGCAGCCUCUCUGUGUGGACAGCUUGGGCUUCUUCGUAGCAGGGUGAUCUCAGGGUAGUUGACUUUUAAAAUGGUGGCUGGCUUCCAUGUGAGAGAAAGAGGAUGUUGCCAGUGUAUUUAGGGGCUGGGCUGUGAAGUACCAGAAGCAUCACUUCCUCUGAGUUCCACUUCCUACCUGUACUCUGUUGGUCAAAGCAGGUCACAGGCCAGCAUGGAGUCAAGGGAGAGGAAAUAGCUUGUACAUCUUGGUGGGAAGACCAAUAUGCGCAAAUGGGAAGAGAAGAAUUAGCACCAGCCUUCUUCGGAGUCUACCUGGGAAGAUGAAAGGAUGAUGCGGUCAGCUGGUUAGGCAGGAUGGUAUGAAACCCUGCCACGGAGAUCAGGAAGGAUCUAGAAGACAUGGUAUAGACUCCUUAUCUUCUAACUCUUCCACCCCCCACAACAGGGUCACAAAGAUAACACCUUGCCCAUCCAACGACUUCCCAUCUGCCAUCUUGGAGAUCAGGAAGAGGCCAGAGAGCUAACAGAGAGUCUGAGAAUGAGUCUUUAUGGCAACCCUUGGACAGCAUGGCAGUUUACUCCACAGGAAAGGCUCCUGGAAGGACUGGAAAGUUAUAAUGAAGAAAAGAGUUUUCUGCCACCGGUUGGACAUAAAGGAAUCUGCGGGAAAACCCAAGGCAACAAUGUUGUUAUUUCAGAACUAUGAAUCUCUCAAGGCAUUUCUCCAAAAAAAAGCAGAUUUCAAUAACAAGAGGAAAAUGGAUCAGUGGGGAUAUUACAGGGUUUUGGUUUGCCUAAAAACGCUGUAG
Molecule: long non-coding RNA, 1058 nt
Filed under: Fukomys damarensis (Damara mole-rat)
Lineage: Eukaryota; Metazoa; Chordata; Mammalia; Rodentia; Bathyergidae
Description: lncRNA (ENSFDAG00000033191.1)
Source: RNAcentral